RNAcentral lists this ribosomal RNA (492 nucleotides) under uncultured bacterium. RNAcentral describes it as "bacterial SSU rRNA". It matches the Rfam family "Bacterial small subunit ribosomal RNA", at positions 501 to 992 of the family's 1533-position model. The record is from RNAcentral.
CUACGUGCCAGCAGCCGCGGUAAUACGUAGGGUGCGAGCGUUAAUCGGAAUUACUGGGCGUAAAGCGAGCGCAGACGGUUACUUAAGCAGGAUGUGAAAUCCCCGGGCUCAACCUGGGAACUGCGUUCUGAACUGGGUGACUAGAGUGUGUCAGAGGGAGGUAGAAUUCCACGUGUAGCAGUGAAAUGCGUAGAGAUGUGGAGGAAUACCGAUGGCGAAGGCAGCCUCCUGGGAUAACACUGACGUUCAUGCUCGAAAGCGUGGGUAGCAAACAGGAUUAGAUACCCUGGUAGUCCACGCCCUAAACGAUGUCGAUUAGCUGUUGGGCAACUUGAUUGCUUGGUAGCGAAGCUAACGCGUGAAAUCGACCGCCUGGGGAGUACGGUCGCAAGAUUAAAACUCAAAGGAAUUGACGGGGACCCGCACAAGCGGUGGAGCAUGUGGUUUAAUUCGAUGCAACGCGAAGAACCUUACCUACUCUUGACAUCCAGA